GACGUAGGGCGCGAGCGUUGUCCGGAUUUAUUGGGCGUAAAGAGCUCGUAGGCGGCUUGUCGCGUCGAAUGUGAAACCCACAGCUCAACUGUGGGCUUGCAUUCGAUACGGGCAGGCUCGAGUUCGGUAGGGGAGACUGGAAUUCCUGGUGUAGCGGUGAAAUGACGCAGAUAUCAGGAGGGAACACCCGGGUGGGCGAAAGGCG
RNAcentral lists this ribosomal RNA (205 nucleotides) under uncultured bacterium. RNAcentral's name for it is "partial 16S ribosomal RNA". It matches the Rfam family "Bacterial small subunit ribosomal RNA", at positions 524 to 723 of the family's 1533-position model. The record is from RNAcentral.